Humulus lupulus (European hop) is the source of this 294-nucleotide long non-coding RNA. RefSeq lists it as uncharacterized. The record is from RefSeq and is a predicted model, not a curated record. The transcript is spliced from 3 exons. NCBI's taxonomy places the organism in Eukaryota, Viridiplantae, Streptophyta, Magnoliopsida, Rosales, Cannabaceae.
UAUACAUAGCAAGAAAAUGGAAUUGAGGAACAUAGUGUAUAUGGGCAAUGGUUGUGAUGGAUGAUGGCUGCCAUAUUCACGGGUGGUCGAAUCCCUCAGAUAUUAACUUUACUUUCAUGACAUAUAGAAUGGUCAAUAUUGAAGUGGGCUAUCCCAUUUGAUGUUUCCAGAUUGGCAAUGAUCUUUCUCAAUUUGUGGGGCCUCUUAUCUUGAAUCAACUCUACAGUUUCUUAAUCACCCUGCUCUUGAUGGUCUUUUAUGUGAUAAAGAUCGAAAGGUUGGGCUUUUAUUUCC